Molecule: ribosomal RNA, 2279 nt
Filed under: Salmonella enterica
Lineage: Bacteria; Pseudomonadati; Pseudomonadota; Gammaproteobacteria; Enterobacterales; Enterobacteriaceae
Also listed under: 1 other name
Description: partial 23S ribosomal RNA
Rfam family: Bacterial large subunit ribosomal RNA
Source: RNAcentral
AACCCAGUGUGACUCGUCACACUAUCAUUAACUGAAUCCAUAGGUUAAUGAGGCGAACCGGGGGAACUGAAACAUCUAAGUACCCCGAGGAAAAGAAAUCAACCGAGAUUCCCCCAGUAGCGGCGAGCGAACGGGGAGGAGCCCAGAGCCUGAAUCAGCAUGUGUGUUAGUGGAAGCGUCUGGAAAGGCGCGCGAUACAGGGUGACAGCCCCGUACACAAAAGCGCAUGUGCUGUGAGCUCGAUGAGUAGGGCGGGACACGUGGUAUCCUGUCUGAAUAUGGGGGGACCAUCCUCCAAGGCUAAAUACUCCUGACUGACCGAUAGUGAACCAGUACCGUGAGGGAAAGGCGAAAAGAACCCCGGCGAGGGGAGUGAAAAAGAACCUGAAACCGUGUACGUACAAGCAGUGGGAGCCCCACCACCAAAGCAUUUGCUGUACCGCGUUGACGGAGCGAAGCGACGUCAAACCGAUAAAACAGCAGUGUAAAGUGAGCCGCAGGGCGCUUUGCGCGACAGCGCAAAGGCAGGCGGUUUCGCGUAGCGAAAGCGAAUGCUUUGGGGUGGGGUGACUGCGUACCUUUUGUAUAAUGGGUCAGCGACUUAUAUUCUGUAGCAAGGUUAACCGAAUAGGGGAGCCGGAGGGAAACCGAGUCUUAAUUGGGCGUUAAGUUGCAGGGUAUAGACCCGAAACCCGGUGAUCUAGCCAUGGGCAGGUUGAAGGUUGGGUAACACUAACUGGAGGACCGAACCGACUAAUGUUGAAAAAUUAGCGGAUGACCUGUGGCUGGGGGUGAAAGGCCAAUCAAACCGGGAGAUAGCUGGUUCUCCCCGAAAGCUAUUUAGGUAGCGCCUCGUGAAUUCAUCUCCGGGGGUAGAGCACUGUUUCGGCUAGGGGGCCAUCCCGGCUUACCAACCCGAUGCAAACUGCGAAUACCGGAGAAUGUUAUCACGGGAGACACACGGCGGGUGCUAACGUCCGUCGUGAAGAGGGAAACAACCCAGACCGCCAGCUAAGGUCCCAAAGUCAUGGUUAAGUGGGAAACGAUGUGGGAAGGCCCAGACAGCCAGGAUGUUGGCUUAGAAGCAGCCAUCAUUUAAAGAAAGCGUAAUAGCUCACUGGUCGAGUCGGCCUGCGCGGAAGAUGUAACGGGGCUAAACCAUGCACCGAAGCUGCGGCAGCGACACUGUGUGUUGUUGGGUAGGGGAGCGUUCUGUAAGCCUGUGAAGGUGUGUCGUGAGGCAUGCUGGAGGUAUCAGAAGUGCGAAUGCUGACAUAAGUAACGAUAAAGCGGGUGAAAAGCCCGCUCGCCGGAAGACCAAGGGUUCCUGUCCAACGUUAAUCGGGGCAGGGUGAGUCGACCCCUAAGGCGAGGCCGAAAGGCGUAGUCGAUGGGAAACGGGUUAAUAUUCCCGUACUUGGUGUUACUGCGAAGGGGGGACGGAGAAGGCUAUGUUGGCCGGGCGACGGUUGUCCCGGUUUAAGCGUGUAGGUGUGUGUUCCAGGUAAAUCCGGUUCACUUUAACACUGAGGCGUGACGACGAGGCACUACGGUGCUGAAGCAACAAAUGCCCUGCUUCCAGGAAAAGCCUCUAAGCAUCAGGUAACAUCAAAUCGUACCCCAAACCGACACAGGUGGUCAGGUAGAGAAUACCAAGGCGCUUGAGAGAACUCGGGUGAAGGAACUAGGCAAAAUGGUGCCGUAACUUCGGGAGAAGGCACGCUGACACGUAGGUGAAGUGAUUUACUCAUGGAGCUGAAGUCAGUCGAAGAUACCAGCUGGCUGCAACUGUUUAUUAAAAACACAGCACUGUGCAAACACGAAAGUGGACGUAUACGGUGUGACGCCUGCCCGGUGCCGGAAGGUUAAUUGAUGGGGUCAGCGCAAGCGAAGCUCCUGAUCGAAGCCCCGGUAAACGGCGGCCGUAACUAUAACGGUCCUAAGGUAGCGAAAUUCCUUGUCGGGUAAGUUCCGACCUGCACGAAUGGCGUAAUGAUGGCCAGGCUGUCUCCACCCGAGACUCAGUGAAAUUGAACUCGCUGUGAAGAUGCAGUGUACCCGCGGCAAGACGGAAAGACCCCGUGAACCUUUACUAUAGCUUGACACUGAACAUUGAGCCUUGAUGUGUAGGAUAGGUGGGAGGCUUUGAAGUGUGGACGCCAGUCUGCAUGGAGCCGACCUUGAAAUACCACCCUUUAAUGUUUGAUGUUCUAACGUGGACCCGUUACCCGGGUUGCGGACAGUGUCUGGUGGGUAGUUUGACUGGGGCGGUCUCCUCC